CCUGGCGGAGGUGCCAGACUGUUUCCAAGUUGAGUCUUCCUUCCUCUUCCUUUUAAGCCUCUUGAAGAAUAGAUUGUUAUAAUUUGUGAAUAAUCAUAUGGUGACUAUGCGGAUAUAAAAGGUCUUUGCCAGGCUGAGUCCAUUUACAACUUGUGAGCAAAUAAAUUAAUUAGUGGGAAACACUAAUAUACUAAGUGCAUGCAAAGACUAUUGGCUAGAGUCUUAUUCCACUCUGCAGCCUCCACAGGGAGAUCCAGCUCCAGCUGACGUAGACUAAUGGGCUGCGGGUCAGAUUGUUCCUUAGAUACACUGGCUCCCGCUCCCUCAUUUGGUGUCUGGUAUGUCUGACAUAACUCCAGGUUUCAAAGGUCAAGGUGACAAGCGAUUUUAUCAGUUUUUAUGGCAAUGUCUGUACUGCUGUACGGGAAAGACCCGCAAGGCUGGGCUGAAGGCCAAAUUGCAUGUUUUGGCUUGCACGAGUGCUCCGGGGGUUGGUGAUGGGGUGGCCCUGGCUGGUGCUCCCCAGGCAGGGGGUCUCCAAGGGCAGCCUACAUGUCACGGUCGCCUCAGCAGCGUGCUGGGACCAGGUCUUCUGCUCGUGCCCGGUCUCGUCAGCUUCGUCUAGCCGUCCUGGUGUUGCACGGGCACCACGCAGCUUCCCCGGAUGCGUGCAGGAGGCCUUGGAGGGCAGCGGGUGCUGGGUGCACUGAGGUCCAGCCUUGCCAGUCCCCAUGCAACCAUGAGGAACGCUUCCUCUGACCAUUCCUCCAGUCUGCUCCUUACCUCCCUCUCUUCCUCUCCGUAGGCAAGAUGACAGAAAGACUUUUGAGGGAAGGAUCUGAAAGAAGCAAAGCUACUCUUCACUAAUCCAUUGCAGUUGACACCACAGCUGGGAUGAAGAGAAUGACAACAAGGGGCACGAAAGGACUGUAGUGGAUGGAGUCUCCUAAAAGUCUCCGCUGAGAGACUGCUCUCUCCUGGGUCUGGAGAUGAUCAAACCAAGAUGACCCAGCGACAGGCCGCAACGCUCAGCUGAGGACUCAGCCAAGGUGUUGAAAAGGUAAGUGACUGUGAUGAGCUGUGUUAGGGAAACAACAUGUACAGCAGAGUUUGAGAAUCUGAAGAGCUUAUGAGAGCAAUUAAAGGCAAAAGAGGCGUGGGUACAGUGUCAGCCUAAAUAUUCCCCAGCUGUGAUCACCACAUCACCAGACAGCAGUUGUUUUCCAGACCGUCAGAUGCAGAGAGCCGUUCCCCCGAGCUUCCUUGGUUCCCAGGACUGUCUUGCUUUUUUUGGCUUUUGGGACUUCACUUACCCCACUGCACCUGACGGUGCUCAGAGCUGGCUGUCGCUGCCCGGAUUCCUUCACCCUCCCUGGCGCUGCCCGUCCUGACCUCUAGAAUUCAUUGUUAUCAUGCUGGGAAACACCCCUGGCUUUGAUAUUUCUGAUGAGCCAAACAUUAUGGUUACAAUUUUAAAAAUCUCUUCUUUGAAAUCUAGUGACUGGUGGGAAAAUUCUGUACAGAAAGUAGAUAAGCCUGGUAGAGGUGUAUGUACGGCUUCUGAUUUUUUUUUUUUUGAGAAGUUAUAUUAAUAGCUUCCAUUAGAAAAAUACCCUCAUGCAAGCGUUAUUGAUCCGAAGCAAACAUAUGGGCUGGACCAUGGAGAAGCUUUGCCUGUCUUUGCUCGCCUUGCUCCCCCUUUCCUCUGCUUGCUUGUCCAGUGUGGACUGCAGCCCUCGCUUCCUUCUGAACAAACCUGCAGCACUGAGAACGCAGGGUUAGGUGGGUUUCUAGCUACUAUUAGCAUGUAAAUAAUAAAUGUAAUGAAAAGACAUUACAAAAAGACAUUUUCAUAUACAGCAGAGCUAUUUUGAUGAUUUCUAAUAACGUAUAUGGAGCUCUCCAAUUCAGAUACCAGUUAAUUAAUUAUACUCAUUUUAUAUACUCAUAUACUUCGUUUUAUCUAAUGCAAACCAUGGUACAAACAAUGGAGAUGAGGCUGGGACUGAGCAGCCCUCACUGGAGACCAAAUAUGGAACAGCAGAUGCUAGAGACUUUGGGACAAUUGCUAUCAGAAGCUGGCUUGUAGCUACAGAAGAAUGCAUUCCACGCCUGAGAUGCCCUUAACUAUCCAGAAUUGCUCUGUAAAGCACAAAAGUACCCUGAGACCAGAGCGCACGGAAGUUUCUGCUAAAUUCAUCUGCUGCGGAGAAAGAUUCAUUGAUGGACACCUGAUCCUAGCACGGCUAACAUCUUCAAAGGUCUGUCAGAGCCAAGGAGAGCCAUCACAGCCACAUCCGCUGCAAGGUGACACAAAGCACCCCGCUAUGGGACAGCCUGUAGCAUUUUUGGGAACGUGCCAUCAUGGCAUUUCCCUGUAGGAGUGCCUCCUCCAGCUCAUAAGAAGGGAAGAGAUGCUCUUUUCCGGAUGAGCAGCAGACAAAAAGUGAUCAAAAUCACACUCCAAAAAUGCUAGUAUGGAGAAGGAGGGGAGAAAGCCCUCGUUUCCCUGGGGAACACACCAGCAGCUCUCCGAAGAGUCGGUGUGAUAUACCAGCACGCGAGCGAGUGGGUGUGCGUAGGAUUCGGCGUUGCACAAGAAGUGAGUGAAUUCCUGUCUGAACCUCUACCCAAAAAGCCUCAGAUAUGUGUUUGGUCAGAUGUUAAGCAGAACAAGUAAGCGAACAGAUGACUUCUCGUUUCUGACUCCAUCAUUUGUUCUAAAUCCCUUAACAGAGGGCACCAGGGCAAAUUAAAAAUAGGGACUAUUGCUGACAGAUACUGUGGCAUGUGCAGUGCUGUCCCUGCGAUUUCCCAGAACGAGCUGUCAUUUGUAUUCUCUCUGUGCCAGUAAUGUAUAUGGCUUCAUUACUAAGUGGCUGACCUUUACCGAGCAGAUUGUCAGAAGCAAAAGGUUUCAGCUUGACGAUUCCUGGCUCCUGAAAGGCUACAUAGUGCCUUGCUGCAUUCCUGAGAGAGAGGCAAGCUGCAAACGCAUCCCUCAGAAAUCCUACUUCUUAUUCUGAAGGCAGGUACCAGGGUGCUUGCAAACUUUUCUCUCCUGAUGCCUGAGACUGACAAAUAGUGGCUGGUUCGUUUGAAUGCACAAUUAUUAAUACCCUGGCUGGCUGUUAGGUUGCCCCAGCAAAGGGAUGGGAUGCUAAUGGGAUUUGUUUUAAAAGAUUAAUUUUUAAUAGGAAUUUGGCAUUUGAUGCCGUCAUAUUAAUUUUCAGAAUAACGCACUGUGACAAGCCUGCAUGAAUUUUACAAUAAUUCUUCCACCAUAGGCCCUCCCUAUCCUUUUAUAGCCAUGUUAGUCAGACACAACUUCUGAACAAUAAACAAAUAAUAUCUGAUAUUGUGUGGCAGCAGGAAUUUAACAAGCUAGCCUGUCUUAGCCCAUAGGGAUAUGUCAGCCAGCAAAGGGCUGAUUGAUGUCUCAGAUUCAGGCUUGAUCUCUUAAACAAGCAAAAAUAUUAACCUUGAAUCCAGGAGAUAUGGAGUAUGUCAUUUAAAAUAAACUUUAAAACAAAUCUAUUUGUUAAAGUCCAUUUUCAAGAAUUUAGCAGGGAGGUGAGAAAAUUUUCCACCAUUGAGCAGACUUGCUGCAGCAUGAUGCAAGCUUGUAGCAAUGCUAACAAAGGCAAUAUCACCUGUUUCACAAGCAGGUGUAUCACAACCACUGUCUGGAAAAAAAUAUUUUGAAGGGUAUCGUUUGGGGCUGCUUUGGCUGGUAUGAAUACCUAGAGCAGUGUAGCGCAGGUUUAGCGAUGAAUAACAGUGGGCAAACUUGUCGGCUUGGUGCAUUUGAGAGCAGGCGGUGAGGAGAGAACAGCCCUGUGCUGCCCAGGUUGGGGGGGGGGGUCAGCCCCAGCAGCCGUGCUCACCCCCGCCACACGGGACGGCCAGUGGAAGAACUGGCAUCCAUCUUCAGCCAAAAAAAAUCUCCCCUCAAACAAUCCAAAAAACCUUCAAAAGGAAACCAAGGAAUUAUUGAUACUAAGAGAAGUGAACCAAGAUGCUUGCAAAGAUGAAACAAGUGAUUUCUCCUAUCCCAGAGAAUCAGAAAAGCUUUAGGUUGGGUCAUGUCUGCUUAUUGUCCAUAAAGAAAACCUGAGAUCAUGCCUUAUGCACCAUGCCCAGUUACCAGGGAAGGACUGCCAGGAGUUUCAGAGAUGUGCCUUUGCUCAGUCUGGAGGGCUGAGCUUCCCGUUUCACUGCAAUUAUCUGCUGCGAAGACGAACAUCAUAAGGCCUUAGAUUUUGGCUGUGGGAAGUUAUCUUAAUUGCUGAGUUGUUUGGCUUAAGAAUGUAUUCCUUUCUGGAGUGCUGCUAUAGGUGAGACAGGCUUGCAGAAGAGCAAAGUGCAGAAGUUUCAGGUCAGCGUGUCCCAUUAUUGCCAAGUUAGAAAGCCUAGAAAAUAAUGGGUUUCAGAAGAACACUGGUUUAACCUUAACUACAGAUGUGUUGCCAUAAUUGCGGAUGUUGUUUAUUUGCAGAGCCAAAUCUGUUUUGUGACUUUUUUCUCUGCUUGAAUUAAUGAAAGAACCCAGCAGCCCUGUUGACUGAGCAAAUCAGCAGUCAGUUAAGUGCAUCCUGUCAGCAGAAGGUAAUUUUAAUGCUACGCCAGUGGUCUCUCACUAAUUAAAAAACAUUUAUUAUCUGUUUUUGGGACCCUUUCCAAGAAUGAAAAUGCGGUUCCAAAAGGUUUUCAGAGCAGACUGCCUUCAGCAGCCUAGUGCUGCACUUUAGGCCAACAAAAGAAAGAACGAGGUGGGGGUGAUGAAGAGAAGUAUGAGGAGGAACAAAAAAAUGUGUUGAAAACCUCAGAUUAGUCUCAGCACUGGAGGAGAAACAAAUCAAUGUCAGGAAUUAGAGAAAGAAAUGACAAGGAGAGAAAAGAAAAAGGAACAGAACAAACCCGAAAAAGACAAAACCGGACUGAUUGGGAGGGAGGGUAUCAACAGUCGGUUGAGUGACUGGUAGAUAAUGAAGUAGAUAGACGCAAACCCAGGAGGAGAGGGUCUGGAGAUGCCAUCACUGGUGUCACUGGUGCUGCCAGUAUGUGCUUUUCUCUAAGCAAAGGCUGGAGAACAUUUGUCGGGGUGACCUUGGUAUGCUGGAUCCUGUUUCGGUGUGGAGAUGGUGGGAUGAGCCCUGGAGGUCUCUCCUCACUCAAUUCGUGGCCAGGCCUCCUCAGGUCCCCACCGGCUGGUUGCCUCCCACGCCUCCCAGGCUGCUCAGGAACUGCGGCUGUGUUCAGCCACGGAUAUCAGGGUGGACACGUCAUGGGUGAGACCUUCUCACAAGUCUCUUGCCAGCCAACACAGUGGGCAGCCAGCUGAGGGAAACGCUGAGAGACCAGUUCUGCUUGGCCUGCCAGCUGGCCAACGUCACGUAUAUACCGGCCAGCACGUGCAGAGCUCAGGUCCAGCUGCGGCCAGUGCUGCUGAUGUCCAGCUGUGUUUGUUCAAUGGGCAGAUACCCGGUAAACACAUCUUUCCUCCGGGAACUCGGGAGGAACUCCCUGGUACUUCCAUGAUAAGUACAGCUAACAGUACAACAGCUGUCAGUAAAACGUCAUCAGUGUGUGUGCGAGCCAGGGACUUCAGGUAAGUGCUUUGAAACCCGAAACAGCAGUCCUCAGCUCUGUCUCCGAAAUGUUGCUGAGAGGUGGAGGAAGGGGAGCUCUUGGUCCCAGCCGCUGCUUUCUCUGGCCAAGCAGCGUCUCUGCAAGUCUCCAGGCUGCUUCUGCACAGUGCUGCUCUCAAAGGUUUCUUUUGCCGUGUUUUAGCUUCUCCCUUUCUUUUUGCAGGGAGGAGAGCAGGAAGCAGAGGGUGUGGGGUGGUUGGCAGUGACAGUGACUGAUCUGUGGUUGUUCCUCAGUGGUGUUUUCAGUGGCACACUCUAGCAAGCCACCGCUCUACCCGCUUCCAUCACUGUCAUUUUUCCUUCAAGACAAAGGUUUAUCAAUAUCGCAGUAAAGCAUUAGCUUUCCAAAGAGCGGCUGCAACUGGACAUGGCUUUGCUCGCUGAGCAGAGAAGCUUUUGUGGGGUCCGUCUGCUCUGUGUGGACCUCAUGUCUUCUCCUAUCACCGCAGGAGAUGCAAGCCUGCAUUUAGCCAUAGUUUCUGAUUUAAGUUUAGCUCCCAGCAGAAUAAAGACCUGCUUCUCUUUUAUAGGAGAUAUCAGGCAGGAGAUUUGAGGACAGAGGGAGGAAAAUGAAACAGCUCUUCACAUUGUUUCUGAAGAAAGAAAAUAAAGCAACACAGUAGAAUCUCAGAUUUUCUUGCUGCUUGAUGCUACACCUACAGGAUUCAGAGGAAAAUCUACCAGGGACUUCCACAGAACCAGAUUAAGCACUGAUGUAGGCACUUUGCAUAUGAUAUUGUCCGAUACCCUGUCAAGUGGCCACAAGGCUGGACCAUAUUUGGUAGCACAAGGUUUGUAGGUAGAAAAAAAUCUUUUAUUGAGGAUCUGAUAUUAGUGGAAAAUUAGGAAAGCUUCUCAGUAUCCAAGCACUUGUGAGUAGGAACAGCAGGUUUCAAAGCUAAAUAGAAGUUGAGAACAGUUGUCAAGAGCUUAAUUGGAUAUGUGUCUCUUAGCCCAUUUUAGAAAGACUAGCAGGUGUUGUACUCAUGAAUGCUUGGAGAGUUGUCCCUCUCUUCCUUUAAGGCAGGACUGGAGGUGAAGGGAUUGCUCUGCAAGCAUUUUGUGCUGAGCUGCUGAGAGUAUCUGGAAAGGGUAUCUGGAAAGCCUGUUACUGAAAGUCCUGUUUCAUUUACCCUGUCUCCUGUGGAUCUCCAUGGCUGGGAACGCUCUAAAACAGGAGGUGCGUAUCCGUGUCCCAGGUACUUCCACCGGUACGGGUCAGACUCCUGCAACCUUCUUGCCUACCGUUGGCUGGAAGGGUCAGACAAGAAGUGGGAUGUAAACUUUGAUUUCCCCUGAACUCCAGCUGCCUCCAAGCAGCCCAGCUAACCCAGGGCAGGAUAUUCCAGUUAAUUAGACCAGCACAGUGCGGUGCUUUGCAUGACUCACUGGGAGCAGUUAGUGGCUGCCAGCUCAAGGCAGUGUGGGCAGCUGCUUCCUCCCUGGGAUGAGGCGGGAGCUGCGCUGGGAGAUGCGGGGCUUGGCACACGCGGGGAGCUGCGUUUGGGGCCUGCAGCCCUGAAAUGGCAGGAUAUUUCACACCUUCCAACUUUCACCUGCUCGUUUGCAACUUUGAGUGCAAUCUUUUUUUCCCCUUUUUAAGUCAAAUUUGUUCUACUUUCAGGUCUUGCAGCAGAAGAGCCAAAUGAGUGAAGCCCAUGCAAACCCUGCUCAGAGCAAACAAGCCUCGUUCGUUAUUCCAAACACUCUCACUGAACAAAUGCUGCUGGAGCCUCAGAGGCCCUGCUGCGGGGUCUGGCUGCCUGGGAGCUGUAGACAGAUGUAAAGAGCCCUCCAGGAUCCUCUCGUCUCAAUGCCCAGGUGUUUCUCACUCUCUUUACCAGGAUUUACUCCAGGACAACACUCUGGGCCUUUUACUUCUUAUUUCUCAGACCUAAUGCAAAAUGAGCUCUGACAUAAAUUCACAUCUUCUCCAUCCUUCUUCUUGUUGCUAUAACCCCUGUGAUCUUUGUGGACAGGGAAGAUGGUGUUGUGAAUCCAUCCCUAUCACAACAGAAUGAGUUUCCACAGUCUUUCACUGCUGCGGAAGCAGCCUCAGGAAUCCCUUAGGAUUCCCAGUAUUGCAGAGGCUGGAUGCAUUUUUCUUCUGAUUCUGUACCAUGGCUAUGGCAGCAUCCAAAGAGGACAGCUCUUCAAACAGCGGGAAUCCAGGUUUAACACUUGCUGAAGCUGGGAUCAAGUGGGCUCCCUCUCAUGUUGGUGUCUGAGCUGUCAGCUUUGUCACCUGCCCCAGCGUCCAGGAGUGCUGGCAGUAGGAUAAUCUCCAGUCGGAGGAUGCCUUUCAAACUCCUGCCCUCAACAGGAUCAGGGCAGCGGUUCAAGAACAUUUCCUACUGCUGCCUUUCCAAAGGCAAAUGAGUCUCCAGGCCAGCCUGCUGACAGCUCUUUUGGCUAGGCAAGCUGCUGGGAUCCUUGAGUCCAGCUCCCGCGUUUUGCAGGGCUAUGUCAGCUGGCAACACAAAGCCCAAACGUGUUGCAUGGAGAGACCUCACAGUGAGAAAGGAAAGCGGGGGGGAAUCUCCCUUACAUGUGUUGCUCACGCUGGGAGUGUGUAAUCCGCAGCUGAUGCGAAUUCUGUAGGGAAAUGCAGUGCCUUUUUUUAGAAUGAUAAUUCUGGGAAAAGACAUGGUUUUGGGUAGAACAUCUAUUCCUCAGGACACUUACAAACUUAGCAUUAUGCUGUUAUGACUAUACCACCAUUACAGGUCUCAUUCCCACGUAAGUAUAAUCCAUGUAAUUAUUUGUUUCCCUCUUUAUAGUAUUUAUCUGAACUGCAAGUUCCUAUCUGUUUCAGCUACUAGCAAGCAAAUCGCUCUAAUGUUGGAUUAGUGAAGAAGCCAUUGAGAAGGAAAUACAGAGAUCCACUUAGCUCCAUUUUAACCUUUUAUGGGAUUGUCAUAAUUCUGAUUUCUGUUGCAGGGUUGUUGGGAUCCAUGUAAAGUGUCUUCUAAGAGACUUACCCAGUGUCUGCACUGAAUGUCCUACAAGGCAAAGGUUGCUGGAAUUUAUCUUCCUUCCCUUUUAUUCUGCAGUGAGAACAGUCCUCAGCAAAUGAAGUCCUGCAGAGUAGAGACAGCAAAAUGAUUUCUGCAAGGAGUACUCUAACCCGGUGCUAAUUGUACUCAUGCAUUUUCCAGAGAAAGGUGCAAUACCUCCUGCUGUAGAGCACACAGCUUGGACAGGGCUGAGCUGGAGGAUGUCUGUCCCUAGGCUGAGCUGCAUCGGGACCCACCAGCUUGGCCUUUCCCUUGGCUCCAGCAAGAUGUCCUACCAGCCUCAGUUCUGUAUGCAUCUUUAGAUCAUGUGUAUCCCACCUGAGCUGGAUUGAGCAUUACAUUUAUUUCUCCAGCCUUUUAUAGAUAUCCAAAAAAAAGAACAAGGCAUGGUAUUCAACCCUUCCUUUUCUCUUUGCCCAGUGGUUACAGGACUAGCUAGGAAGCAGAGUAAGUUUCCCCAAUUUCAAGCUGAUAUGAUUCAAACCUACACGUCCCUUGCAAGAGGGGACCACUCUGCUGGGACUGGAUGACUUUAGUGCUACCCGCUCUGGGAUACUCACAAGAGCACCAGAAAAACGCAAAGACCAGGAAGAAACAAGUUAAAAACUGAGUAGAAGUGGAAAAGAAAUGUAAAUCGCUCAGGUUUAAGUCAGAAGGAUUAGCAGGAAGGUACAGUCUAAAAGGGAUGGAGUAUCCAGAGAAAGAGCAGCAGAAAAGCUUGAGGAUGCUUCUCCGUGCUCAACAAAAAAUGACUGCUACAAGGGACACCUACAAGACUGCUAUUUGAAAUGGGAAGUCUGAAUAAGAUAAUACUGUAGCAGUUAGGAUAAUCUAACGCCACAGAGGAAACAGCACUAAAAAAAACUUAAAAGACUCCUGAUGCCUGGCAAAUUAAAGUUUUCUUCAACCUUAUUCUUGAAAUCCCAAGUCCUAAGACCCAGGAACAGCAUUAAUCAAAGGUGUAGCCAAAGGCAGAGAUCCAGGAAUUACAACUGCCUUCAUGAGCCUCUGUGCUAGAAGGGAUUAAAGAAAAAUGAGUUUACGGGAGGGACUGUGGUGUUAGCACAUAGCAUCCCAAGAAGCAAUUUGUCAGUAUAUAUCACCUCUAUGUGAUCAAGGCAGAAGGAAGAGAAAGGCCUAGGCAACACCCUUCUUAUAUACAUGGCUGCAGUGAUUUUCUAUGCCAAUUAAUGCCAGCUAAGAAUAUAUCCCUAGAGGCCACACAGCAAGCACUAUAGCCAAAAUUUCCUAGGUUGACAUUACAGACAUGUUUGCAGAUGCGCAGUUUCAGCCCUAUUCAUUUACUUCUGUUUCUUUUAUUAAAAAUCCACAGUGGGAAAGAAACUGGUGUGUCUUCCUGGCACUGGUAAUCUAUGUUGAAGGAAUACCCGUCUGUUUCAGCAAGCCAAAUCUAUUAUCUACCUUGCUAUGUAUUUUCAGUUAUGUUCUGCAUGGAAUAUAACAGAUGACUGCUUUGCUUAUUUUUCUUAACUAGCCAUUCCUUUGCAGAUCAAAUGACAAGCAGCCCUGUAACUUUCUGACAUGGCAAGAUGAUAAAAGACCUGCAGAAGUGUCAUGCAGUCUCUGCUGUGAAAUCUGUCAAUUUGAGACAUUCCGUCCUGGUCCUGGCAGUGAUGAUUUUUGAUGCCCUGUUAAAAUGCACUUCUAUUUUUGCUCUGACAGAAAGCCUGCAGCCUCUCAAGCCUGUGUCAGUGGCGUCCUGAGCUUAUCCCAUACUUGGGGUGCGUUUCUUCAGGCAGGUAAGUCAGCUGUGCAAGAGGUGCACCCAUCAGCAGCAACAUUUUCAAUGUCAAAUGACAUCUUCCAGCCACAUCAGGUGGAUGAUCAGGUGGAUCAGCUUGGAGAAAGGUCACAAAGGUUUCCCUCAAGCACGGACAAACAAUCUUGCCCCUUUCUCCUCCUGUCAAGCUCCUGCUGUCUUCAGGUAUGGCUCCAGUUUGAGGAACUAUCAUGCUGAAAGGUGGCACUUUCAGAAAAGGUGAGUGAAAACAACUGCUGGUUGAACUUCCAUUGGCAUUAACGUUCAGCGUAAUUGUGCUACCUGGCUGCAGGCCAGUCCAGGUCGGCACGUGCCCGCUCUGUUUAAGCCAGUGACUCUCAAUUCGUAGUCUAAGGUAAGUCGAACCCUGGAACCAGAUGGCCUUUAUGGUGCUUUCAGUUCAAAGUCUGAUGAUAAGAGUGUGUUGUGGUUAAUGAUAAAUUUUAUGUUCCUCAUUCAAAGAAUGUGGGAACUGCUAAGGUAAACCUUAGUAUACGGCUGGGAGUGGAGCAAAACAAAACAUCAAGGAGAUCCAUCCCUGCAGCUCCUUUGUCCUCCAGGGGCCGAGCACAAGGCUGCUUUCCUCCGGCAGUGUGGUGAUCCAGCAGGACUGAUCCAGCACCCUUUGCUGAGAAGCUCUUGCCUGGGAAUGGGAGGAAGGGCUGGGUAAUACCCAAGUUACAACCCAGCGGUGAAACCAUAUCACAUAAUAUCUAUGAAUAAAGCACUGUUCUUCCAAAUCACUUUAUAAAACAAAUCAUCCAGAUGGCUGUAACUGAAGAUCUAGUUGUCAAGCUGAGUAAAGCGUAUUUUGAGUGCAUUAACCAAGAAACAUGCAUAAUUGUGCUAAAUUAUGCGUAAUGCAACUCAAACAGAUAUACACUCCGAGGCAGGAAUAUCGCAAGUGUUAGACACCAGCAGCUCAUACUGUCAGUCUUUUAUUAGUCUUCGGGUCAGUUCUGAGAUUUAUGUAAGGGUGUAAAACACGUAGUUUGUGUAUAGAGAGGAAGAAUGUUUUUUCUCUCCUACAGCUUUAUAGGGACUGAAAUCUCUCAAAAAUUAACAGGAGGUAUUCAAAGCUAAGUGGCCAAGUGAAGAUAAACAUUCUCUCUCUGACUCUCUCUUGUUUCUUUUUGACAGGAGGUGGAAAGGACAGAUUUUGUCAGAGUCGAUGAGAACAAGAAACUGCUGAACUUCCUUAUUUGGGACAACUCAGCUUUUCUACUGUGAAUCCCCAAUUAAGAUUGAAGAAAGUGUUGCGGAUUUGUCAUCCUAUUAAAUCUGUAUCACUACCGUCUUUCAUCCUGCUCUCAGCGGAUUCUCUCAUUACCGACAAUGCGUCUCUGUAUCACCGAAGAUCUAAAUGUCAUUAAUGAGGUUAUGCUGGAUUUUGCGCAGGAGAGGUGCACUCGACUCCUUAUCUAUAGCCUGACUCUUAAAUUGCAUCUAGUAGCACGAAGCUCAUUGGUUUAAGCUGUCAUAAUGCUAAUCUUUCUGACUCAUCUAUGUAAG
Long non-coding RNA from Dromaius novaehollandiae (emu), 11960 nucleotides. RefSeq lists it as uncharacterized. The transcript is spliced from 7 exons. The record is from RefSeq and is a predicted model, not a curated record. NCBI's taxonomy places the organism in Eukaryota, Metazoa, Chordata, Aves, Casuariiformes, Dromaiidae.